Molecule: long non-coding RNA, 296 nt
Organism: Cinclus cinclus
Lineage: Eukaryota; Metazoa; Chordata; Aves; Passeriformes; Cinclidae
Exons: 2
Source: RefSeq, a predicted model, not a curated record
CCUUUGGGGGCUGCGUGGGGAAACACCUGAGAUACACCUGGGCACACCUGGGAUAACCUGAGCUACACCUGGGAUCACCUGGGCACACCUGGGAUAAGCUAAAAUAAUCUGUGAUAAACCUGGGCACACCCUGGGACACACCUGUCACAUACCUUGGCACAGGUUCGGGAAUUUCUCCUGGAGAAUUUUCCGGAGCCCCCGGCUGAGCCCCACGGGCACCACCUGGACACUGCUGGAUUGGGGGGAAAAAAUGGGAAUUUGGGAAAAACGUCCAAAAAAUGGGAAUUUGGGAAAAA